UACGUAGGGUGCAAGCGUUGUCCGGAAUUAUUGGGCGUAAAGAGCUCGUAGGCGGCUUGUUGCGUCGACCGUGAAAACCCGGGGCUCAACUUCGGGCUUGCGGUCGAUACGGGCGGGCUAGAGUUCGGUAGGGGAGACUGGAAUUCCUGGUGUAGCGGUGAAAUGCGCAGAUAUCAGGAGGAACACCGGUGGCGAAGGCGGGUCGCUGGGCCGAUACUGACGCUGAGGAGCGAAAGCGUGGGGAGCAAACAGG
This 253-nucleotide ribosomal RNA is filed under the name uncultured bacterium. RNAcentral's name for it is "partial 16S ribosomal RNA". It matches the Rfam family "Bacterial small subunit ribosomal RNA", at positions 524 to 776 of the family's 1533-position model. The record is from RNAcentral.